AGAGAUGCAGGGAACCACCACGUUGUACGGCAACCAACGUGCCGCCCCUCUGUGGGCGGGGAUUCACACUAGCUGUCUGUGUCAAGGCCACGCAGAAAUCUAUUGGAAAUCGCUGUGGAAACAAACGCAAAUGAAAAGCCGCAAAGAGCAAAGGAAUUGGCUCAUGUGAUUAAGGCAGAGAGGCCCUGCAAUCUGCCAUCUGCAAGCUGGAAAACCAGGACAGCUGGUCGUAUAAGCCCUAGUCUGAGUCCAGAGUCCCAAGAACCAGGAGUGCUGAUAUUCAAG
This 285-nucleotide long non-coding RNA is filed under the name Homo sapiens (human). RNAcentral describes it as "PREDICTED lncRNA (TCONS_00207802)". Lineage: Eukaryota; Metazoa; Chordata; Mammalia; Primates; Hominidae. The record is from RNAcentral.